GACGAACGCUUGCGGCGUGCUUAACACAUGCAAGUCGAACGGAAAGGCCCUGCUUUUGUGGGGUGCUCGAGUGGCGAACGGGUGAGUAACACGUGAGUAACCUGCCCUUGACUUUGGGAUAACUUCAGGAAACUGGGGCUAAUACCGGAUAGGAGCUCCUGCUGCAUGGUGGGGGUUGGAAAGUUUCGGCGGUUGGGGAUGGACUCGCGGCUUAUCAGCUUGUUGGUGGGGUAGUGGCUUACCAAGGCUUUGACGGGUAGCCGGCCUGAGAGGGUGACCGGCCACAUUGGGACUGAGAUACGGCCCAGACUCCUACGGGAGGCAGCAGUGGGGAAUAUUGCACAAUGGGCGGAAGCCUGAUGCAGCAACGCCGCGUGCGGGAUGACGGCCUUCGGGUUGUAAACCGCUUUCGCCUGUGACGAAGCGUGAGUGACGGUAAUGGGUAAAGAAGCACCGGCUAACUACGUGCCAGCAGCCGCGGUGAUACGUAGGGUGCGAGCGUCGUCCGGAUUUAUUGGGCGUAAAGGGCUCGUAGGUGGUUGAUCGCGUCGGAAGUGUAAUCUUGGGGCUUAACCCUGAGCGUGCUUUCGAUACGGGUUGACUUGAGGAAGGUAGGGGAGAAUGGAAUUCCUGGUGGAGCGGUGGAAUGCGCAGAUAUCAGGAGGAACACCAGUGGCGAAGGCGGUUCUCUGGGCCUUUCCUGACGCUGAGGAGCGAAAGCGUGGGGAGCGAACAGGCUUAGAUACCCUGGUAGUCCACGCUGUAAACGGUGGGUACUAGGUGUGGGGUCCAUUCCACGGGUUCCGUGCCGUAGCUAACGCUUUAAGUACCCCGCCUGGGGAGUACGGCCGCAAGGCUAAAACUCAAAGGAAUUGACGGGGCCCCGCACAAGCGGCGGAGCAUGCGGAUUAAUUCGAUGCAACGCGUAGAACCUUACCUGGGUUUGACAUGGAUCGGGAGUGCUCAGAGAUGGGUGUGCCUCUUUUGGGGUCGGUUCACAGGUGGUGCAUGCCUGCCGUCAGCUCGUGUCGUGAGAUGUUGGGUUAAGUCCCGCAACGGGCGCAACCCUUGUUCACUGUUGCCAGCACGUUAUGGUGGGGACUCAGUGGAGACCGCCGGGGUCAACUCGGAGGAAGGUGGGGAUGACGUCAAGUCCUCAUGCCCCUUAUGUCCAGGGCUUCACGCAUGCUACAAUGGCUGGUACAGAGAGUGGCGAGCCUGUGAGGGUGAGCGAAUCUCGGAAAGCCGGUCUCAGUUCGGAUUGGGGUCUGCAACUCGACCUCAUGAAGUCGGAGUCGCUAGUAAUCGCAGAUCAGCAACGCUGCGGUGAAUACGUUCCCGGG
Molecule: ribosomal RNA, 1343 nt
Filed under: uncultured bacterium
Lineage: Bacteria
Description: 16S ribosomal RNA
Rfam family: Bacterial small subunit ribosomal RNA
Source: RNAcentral